CCUACGGGAGGCAGCAGUGAGGAAUAUUGGUCAAUGGACGAGAGUCUGAACCAGCCAAGUAGCGUGAAGGAUGAAGGCCCUAUGGGUUGUAAACUUCUUUUAUAAAGGAAUAAAACGAGGCACGUGUGCCUUUUUGCAUGUACUUUAUGAAUAAGGAUCGGCUAACUCCGUGCCAGCAGCCGCGGUAAUACGGAGGAUCCGAGCGUUAUCCGGAUUUAGUGGGUUUAAAGGGAGCGUAGAUGGGUUGUUAAGUCAGUUGUGAAAGUUUGCGGCUCAACCGUAAAAUUGCAAUUGAUACUGGCAGUCUUGAGUACAGUUGAGGUAGGCGGAAUUCGUGGUGUAGCGGUGAAAUGCUUAGAUAUCACGAAGAACCCCGAUUGCGAAGGCAGCUUACUAAACUGUGACUGACAUUGAUGCUCGAAAGUGUGGGUAUCAAACAGGAUUAGAUACCCUGGUAGUC
Molecule: ribosomal RNA, 460 nt
Filed under: uncultured bacterium
Lineage: Bacteria
Description: partial 16S ribosomal RNA
Rfam family: Bacterial small subunit ribosomal RNA
Source: RNAcentral